This is a non-coding RNA of Xyrichtys novacula (pearly razorfish), 286 nucleotides long. The record is from the annotation of a GenBank genome assembly. Lineage: Eukaryota; Metazoa; Chordata; Actinopteri; Labriformes; Labridae.
GUCAGCAUGUGUUCAUAUGACCUCCAAGACAGAGGAAGGAGAGGAUCUGAUUGUUGGUUUGAGACUCUCAGAGACAGUCAGGCUGACACUUCAUCACUCUGUAAAGCUAUCACCAUCCUGCAGGUCUGUCUCUGUCCUGUUACUGUUUUAUCAGCCUCUGCUGGCAGAAAGUGUCUCAUAACUUUUAUUCUUGCAGAAUCUGUCUGGACCUGAUGGCACCGGGGUCACUGAGAGAAGCACUUUUUCCAGAUUACUCCACUUUAGGGAGACUUUAUGACCAUGGAGC